UGAUCCUCAUUCAAGUUGCAUUUUACAAAAUUUACACAAGACACAAAAUCAAACCUGUGCUAUCAAGUAGAUUUCAAUAUCAGCAAUUUAGCAUAAGUUUAAAAGUGUUACUGUUCACAGGGACUAGAUAAAUGCAUGAAUUUGCUUUGUACUUGCUCCCUCUCAAUUCUUCCUUUCUUUGCUAUAAGUCUCAAUUUGCCCAAUCUUCAUGAAUAACCUAUAAAAGAUAAACAAAUAUAACUUUUGAGUUUAAUGAGGGUAAAAACUAAAAUGAGAUAAAAUAGAAAAUUAAUAAACUAUAAAAGGA
This 307-nucleotide unclassified non-coding RNA is filed under the name Hevea brasiliensis (rubber tree). Lineage: Eukaryota; Viridiplantae; Streptophyta; Magnoliopsida; Malpighiales; Euphorbiaceae. The record is from RNAcentral.